This 64-nucleotide transfer RNA is filed under the name Homoiodoris japonica. Its description in RNAcentral is "tRNA-Leu". Lineage: Eukaryota; Metazoa; Mollusca; Gastropoda; Nudibranchia; Dorididae. The record is from RNAcentral.
UGUGGAAUGGCAGAAGAAUGCAUAAAUCUUAAGCGUUUAGUAUGACCAAAUGGUCUUUCACAAC